Long non-coding RNA from Zea mays, 1854 nucleotides. RefSeq lists it as uncharacterized. Lineage: Eukaryota; Viridiplantae; Streptophyta; Magnoliopsida; Poales; Poaceae. The record is from RefSeq and is a predicted model, not a curated record. The transcript is spliced from 2 exons.
CCCCCCCCCCCCCCCCCCCCCCCCCUCCCUGUGACCGGGCCGAGCCGAUGUUUCAGUCGUCCCGAUGCGGUGCCCUGUACGUCUGUACGUGAGCGCCUUGCCGAUCUGGAUAUAUAUGUUCCCUCAACAAUCUGGAAUGGCAUCAGGAUUAUUGGAAAUAGAAGCUUUGUUCUGUCUGACCUUUUUCUGCAGUAGUAGUUCUUUUCAAGUCUAACUAUACAUAUGUAAUAAUAUUUUACAAUAACACAGAGGCUUCCAAAACGAUUCUUUCAAAACAAUUCUGGAUACGUUUGAUCCUCCCCCAAAUAUCACUGUAAUGUAUGUUAUCAUACAUUUAUGCUAUGUAUUUCAGUUUUCACCUCCACAUGAAUAUCAAUAGUCCCUGUACAUAUUGGAUUGCGAUUAUGCACUUUUAUUUACUGUAUAUAAUAUUAAUAGACAUUCUAUAUUCUGUUACAGAGCUGUAUUUUUAGAUAAUGGAAACAUUUCCAGCCUUCCCUUCAAUAGAAGUUAGGGCCGAGUACAAAAGCAUGACACUACCAUCCACAAACAGACACACGCAAUAGGAAAGCCAUUAGAUCGCCUAUUACAUGAUAAUGAUUGCAAACCACCAACCAUCCUUACAUGUGUUUCUGUUUUAUGCUGGGCUAUCUGUACAUGUAGGAAUGAUCUAAUCUUUGACAAAAAAAAAACCCUCUCUCACUUAUUUGCGAGUUCUUUUUUGAGUUACCUAUUGGCUAAGGUUUUGGAGUAAUCUGCAAAGGAAGGAUGAAGAUAAGGAUUUAAUAAAAGCAAGUUGCAGGUCCUUGGAGACAGUUGCUAUGCAGAUUUUUGCACACUUAGGUUACAUUUUUCUUUUGCGUAUGAUUUUGUUUAUUUUCAUUUCGAAUAUUUAAAAAAUAUCUAUAGUCAUUGUGCAUAUUAAAUUGCGAUUAUGCACCUUUAUUUAAUAUAUACAAUGUUAAUUGACAUUGUAUAUUCUGUUAUAGAGUUGUAUAGACCUCCUUUUUUUUCUUUUGCAUAUGGUUUUGUUUAUUUUCAUUGCAAAUAUGUGAACUUUGUAUACCUAUUAUCCAGUGAAGAGAUUAGAAAAGCUCCCAGCCGCCGAGGUCCUGCAGCGGGGACAGGUCGACAAGAAUGUUAUAAAUCUUAGAUUUUGAGUGAUCCCAACAAUCUCGCUGCCCCCAGUACUCCUGAUUUGAUUACUCAAAAUACGAUAUGCUGUUGGGAAAACAAGCAUGGUGGUGUCGCUUGCUGUUGCUAACCAUGAUGAAAGGUCAUUUCAAACUAUUUGCUUAACUUCAGCUUCCACUUAUAGCCUCAACUGAUAGAGGUAUAUGCAUGUUGCAAAAAAAACUUCUUUUUUUGCAAAAUAACUUUGUAAGAUACAUUUGCUUCUAGAGUCUGCUGGUUAGGCGCGGUGGCGGCCAUCCCUAUCAGUCACGCAGGUAUAUUUGGGAGUUGAGACCUCCGGUGGUUGGCUCGCAAAUAAAGGCCCCCCAAAGAGACGCAACUAGGACCAACCGCGAAGGCUCCAUGGGACCUUUGCUCGACCUCGACGACAACAGCAAAGCCUUUCGAGCCAAAGGCUACAUGCAAAAGAUGACGGGACGGGACAAGCAAAGGGCCUAGAACGUGACUAAAGCCACUCCGAGGGCCUUUUGGGAAAACUUCAAGGGCUAUGUGAUGGAGGGCCCUUGGACCAGGAUGCAGUUUAGCCUUCGCCUUUGAGGAUCUGAUGGCCCUGUAACCCUGGUAACGGCUCAACUAGGGCCCAUUCAGUGAGGCUAUUGUAAUGAAGAAUGACUCUUGAGCCCUUGUGAGGUAUUUAUAUACUCCCUCCGUUCACAUGAA